AUUGAACGCUGGCGGCAGGCCUAACACAUGCAAGUCGAGCGGUUGAGGGAAGCUUGCUUCCUGAUUCAGCGGCGGACGGGUGAGUAAUGCCUAGGAAUCUGCCUGGUAGUGGGGGACAACGUUUCGAAAGGAACGCUAAUACCGCAUACGUCCUACGGGAGAAAGCAGGGGACCUUCGGGCCUUGCGCUAUCAGAUGAGCCUAGGUCGGAUUAGCUAGUUGGUGAGGUAAUGGCUCACCAAGGCGACGAUCCGUAACUGGUCUGAGAGGAUGAUCAGUCACACUGGAACUGAGACACGGUCCAGACUCCUACGGGAGGCAGCAGUGGGGAAUAUUGGACAAUGGGCGAAAGCCUGAUCCAGCCAUGCCGCGUGUGUGAAGAAGGUCUUCGGAUUGUAAAGCACUUUAAGUUGGGAGGAAGGGCAGUCAGCGAAUACCUUGCUGUCUUGACGCUACCGACAGAAUAAGCACCGGCUAACUCUGUGCCAGCAGCCGCGGUAAUACAGAGGGUGCAAGCGUUAAUCGGAAUUACUGGGCGUAAAGCGCGCGUAGGUGGUUUGUUAAGUUGAAUGUGAAAUCCCCGGGCUCAACCUGGGAACUGCAUCCAAAACUGGCAAGCUAGAG
Molecule: ribosomal RNA, 623 nt
Filed under: uncultured bacterium
Lineage: Bacteria
Description: bacterial SSU rRNA
Rfam family: Bacterial small subunit ribosomal RNA
Source: RNAcentral